UGAGGAAUAUUGGUCAAUGGACGAGAGUCUGAACCAGCCAAAUCGCGUGAAGGAAGACUGCCCUACGGGUUGUAAACUUCUUUUGUACAGGAAUAAAAGACAUUACGUGUAAUGUAUUGCAUGUACUGUACGAAUAAGCAUCGGCUAACUCCGUGCCAGCAGCCGCGGUAAUACGGAGGAUGCGAGCGUUAUCCGGAUUUAUUGGGUGUAAAGGGUGCGCAGGCGGGAUUUUAAGUCAGCGGUGAAAUUUUCAGGCUCAACCUGAGAACUGCCGUGGAAACUGGGAUUCUUGAGUAUGGAUGAAGCAGGCGGAAUUCGUUGUGUAGCGGUGACAUGCUUAGAGAUAACGAGGAACUCCGAUUGCGUAGGCAGCUUACUAAGCCAUAACUGACGCUCAAGGACGAAAGCGUGGGGAUCAAA
Molecule: ribosomal RNA, 420 nt
Filed under: uncultured bacterium
Lineage: Bacteria
Description: bacterial SSU rRNA
Rfam family: Bacterial small subunit ribosomal RNA
Source: RNAcentral